Molecule: non-coding RNA, 46 nt
Filed under: Schistosoma mansoni
Lineage: Eukaryota; Metazoa; Platyhelminthes; Trematoda; Strigeidida; Schistosomatidae
Source: RNAcentral
GUACUGCUGAUGAGUCCCACAACAGGACGAAACGGCCGUGCAAUGC